This 255-nucleotide ribosomal RNA is filed under the name uncultured bacterium. RNAcentral describes it as "partial 16S ribosomal RNA". It matches the Rfam family "Bacterial small subunit ribosomal RNA", at positions 524 to 776 of the family's 1533-position model. The record is from RNAcentral.
UACGAAGGGGGCUAGCGUUGUUCGGAUUUACUGGGCGUAAAGCGCACGUAGGCGGUUUGUUAAGUCAGGGGUGAAAUCCCAGAGCUCAACUCUGGAACUGCCCUUUGAUACUGGCAAGCUCGAGUCCGGAAGAGGUAAGUGGAACUCCUAGUGUAGAGGUGGAAUUCGUAGAUAUUAGGAAGAACACCAGUGGCGAAGGCGGCUUACUGGUCCGGAACUGACGCUGAGGUGCGAAAGCGUGGGGGAGCAAACAGG